UAUAACUUCACAAGAAAUUAU
RNAcentral lists this non-coding RNA (21 nucleotides) under Caenorhabditis elegans. The record is from RNAcentral. Lineage: Eukaryota; Metazoa; Nematoda; Chromadorea; Rhabditida; Rhabditidae.